GAUGAACGCUGGCGGCGUGCUUAACACAUGCAAGUCGAACGGAAAGGCCUCUGCUUGCAGGGGUACUCGAGUGGCGAACGGGUGAGUAACACGUGGGUGAUCUGCCCUGCACUUCGGGAUAAGCCUGGGAAACUGGGUCUAAUACCGGAUAGGACAAUGGUUUGGAUGCUGUUGUGGAAAGUUUUUCGGUGUGGGAUGAGCUCGCGGCCUAUCAGCUUGUUGGUGGGGUAAUGGCCUACCAAGGCGUCGACGGGUAGCCGGCCUGAGAGGGUGUACGGCCACAUUGGGACUGAGAUACGGCCCAGACUCCGACGGGGGGCAGCAGUGGGGAAUAUUGCACAAUGGGCGCAAGCCUGAGGCAGCGACGCCGCGUGGGGGAUGACGGCCUUCGGGUUGUAAACUCCUUUCGCUAGGGACGAAGCGUUUUUGUGACGGUACCUGGAGAAGAAGCACCGGCUAACUACGUG
RNAcentral lists this ribosomal RNA (467 nucleotides) under uncultured bacterium. Its description in RNAcentral is "partial 16S ribosomal RNA". It matches the Rfam family "Bacterial small subunit ribosomal RNA", at positions 28 to 507 of the family's 1533-position model. The record is from RNAcentral.